Molecule: long non-coding RNA, 277 nt
Filed under: Gossypium raimondii (Peruvian cotton)
Lineage: Eukaryota; Viridiplantae; Streptophyta; Magnoliopsida; Malvales; Malvaceae
Description: long non-coding RNA (GRAI_LNC007794)
Source: RNAcentral
UUUUCUUUUCUCCUUUUUUAUUUUUAUUUUUGGACUCAAAGCACCCUUUGCGGGUUUUCACCUUGGUCUAUUUUUUUUAGGAAUCAAGGCGCCCUUUGCGGGUUUUCACCUUGUUCCCUUCUCCUUCUUCAAGUGAAGUAAUACUUGACUAAAUCUGAGUUUGCAGGAUUUGACAAGUUUUUACCAUCCAUCCUACUCAAGAUCAGAGCUCCUCUGGAAAAGGCCUUUGGCAUCCCUUUUUCCUCUAAAAUCCUUUUUUAUAGGAAGAAUCUUUUCC